This 253-nucleotide ribosomal RNA is filed under the name uncultured bacterium. Its description in RNAcentral is "partial 16S ribosomal RNA". It matches the Rfam family "Bacterial small subunit ribosomal RNA", at positions 524 to 776 of the family's 1533-position model. The record is from RNAcentral.
UACGAAAGGGGCUAGCGUUGUUCGGAAUUACUGGGCGUAAAGCGCACGUAGGCGGCCUUGUAAGUUGGGGGUGAAAUCCCGGAGCUCAACUCCGGAACUGCCUUCAAGACUGCAAAGCUCGAGGACGCGAGAGGUUAGCGGAAUUCCGAGUGUAGAGGUGAAAUUCGUAGAUAUUCGGAAGAACACCAGUGGCGAAGGCGGCUAACUGGCGCGUUUCUGACGCUGAGGUGCGAAAGCGUGGGGAGCAAACAGG